Rhinopithecus bieti (black snub-nosed monkey) is the source of this 306-nucleotide unclassified non-coding RNA. Its record names the gene 7SK. It matches the Rfam family "7SK RNA". From Rfam's summary of the family: 7SK was discovered as an abundant small nuclear RNA in the mid-70s but a possible function has only recently been suggested. Two independent studies have found that 7SK RNA binds the CDK9/cyclin T complex (known as elongation factor P-TEFb). P-TEFb activates transcription by phosphorylating the C-terminal domain of RNA polymerase II. Lineage: Eukaryota; Metazoa; Chordata; Mammalia; Primates; Cercopithecidae. The record is from Ensembl.
GGAUGUGAGGGCAAUCUGGCUGCGACAUCUGCUCACCACUGAUUGCCAAGGUUGAUUCAGCUGAUCUGAGUGGCUAAGCGGUUGUCCUCUUCCUCCCUCAUGGCUUCGUAUGCAUCCCUCCCAAACAUGCCUGUUCAGUCAAAGAGUACGACCAUCCCCAACAGAGGAGGACCAGUCUUUGGUCAAGAGUAUACGAGUAGCUGCGCUCCCCUGCUAGAAACGCCAAACAAGCUCUCAAGGUGCACAGAUGCUAAGGUGCGUAUACAGACAGAUGUUAGGAUCUGCAUGUCUGUAGAUGUGACUCUG